RNAcentral lists this unclassified non-coding RNA (144 nucleotides) under uncultured Helotiales. Its description in RNAcentral is "sequence contains ITS2". Lineage: Eukaryota; Fungi; Ascomycota; Leotiomycetes; Helotiales. The record is from RNAcentral.
UGACCACUCCAGCCUAGCUGGGUAUUGGACCACGCCAGCAGCGCGGGUCUUAAAAUCAGUGGCGGUGCUUUCAGGCUCUACGCGUAGUAAUAUCUCUCGCUAUAGAGCCCUGGGGGACACUAGCCAUCAACCUCAACUUCUUAA